UACAGAGGGGGCAAGCGUUAUUCGGAAUUAUUGGGCGUAAAGGGCGCGUAGGCGGCCUGGCAAGUGGAUGGUGAAAUCCCUCGGCUUAACCGAGGAACUGCCAUCCAGACUGCUUGGCUUGAGACCGGGAGAGGUGAGUGGAAUUCCCAGUGUAGCGGUGAAAUGCGUAGAUAUUGGGAAGGAACACCAGUGGCGAAGGCGGCUCACUGGACCGGUACUGACGCUGAGGCGCGAAAGCGUGGGGAGCAAACGGG
This 254-nucleotide ribosomal RNA is filed under the name uncultured bacterium. RNAcentral describes it as "partial 16S ribosomal RNA". It matches the Rfam family "Bacterial small subunit ribosomal RNA", at positions 524 to 776 of the family's 1533-position model. The record is from RNAcentral.